Molecule: ribosomal RNA, 800 nt
Filed under: bacterium S1cc11
Lineage: Bacteria
Description: bacterial SSU rRNA
Rfam family: Bacterial small subunit ribosomal RNA
Source: RNAcentral
GAACGCUGGCGGCAGGCCUAACACAUGCAAGUCGAGCGCACCUUCGGGUGAGCGGCGGACGGGUUAGUAACGCGUGGGAACGUACCCUUUUCUACGGAAUAGCCAUUGGAAACGAUGAGUAAUACCGUAUACGCCCUUCGGGGGAAAGAUUUAUCGGAGAAGGAUCGGCCCGCGUUAGAUUAGAUAGUUGGUGGGGUAAUGGCCUACCAAGUCUACGAUCUAUAGCUGGUUUUAGAGGAUGAUCAGCAACACUGGGACUGAGACACGGCCCAGACUCCUACGGGAGGCAGCAGUGGGGAAUCUUAGACAAUGGGCGCAAGCCUGAUCUAGCCAUGCCGCGUGAGUGAUGAAGGCCUUAGGGUCGUAAAGCUCUUUCGCCAGGGAUGAUAAUGACAGUACCUGGUAAAGAAACCCCGGCUAACUCCGUGCCAGCAGCCGCGGUAAUACGGAGGGGGUUAGCGUUGUUCGGAAUUACUGGGCGUAAAGCGUACGUAGGCGGAUUAGAAAGUUAGGGGUGAAAUCCCAGGGCUCAACCCUGGAACUGCCUCUAAAACUACUAGUCUAGAGUUCGAGAGAGGUGAGUGGAACUCCGAGUGUAGAGGUGAAAUUCGUAGAUAUUCGGAAGAACACCAGUGGCGAAGGCGGCUCACUGGCUCGAUACUGACGCUGAGGUACGAAAGUGUGGGGAGCAAACAGGAUUAGAUACCCUGGUAGUCCACACCGUAAACGAUGAAUGCCAGUCGUCGGGUAGCAUGCUAUUCGGUGACNCACCUAACGGAUAAGCAUUCCGCCUGGGGAGU